UGGCACGCGGCACGUGCAAAGAGCAUGGCGAUUCGAUUUGUUUCUCGACGUCGCCAUUGUCGCAUCAGCGAGCCAGGUAAGAAAACGGAUUUUAUUUUUAAAUUUCUUAAGGGAGGCGUAAAGAAGGGAAAUUCGGCAAACCUAGAGAAAAGUAAGACAGGUAUAUAUAGCGGUGUUUGGGUGGGCGGAUUGUAAAAAAAGGUGGUUGUGAGGGUGGUUGUAAGGCAAUGGAGGGCGGUUAGUACACAGUAAGAGAAUAUAACUGAGGGCGGAUUGUAGACAAAUCUGCCGGUUGGUGGUUAGAGGGAAAACCGGACGUGGGUUAGGGUUUCAAUUUGGGUUCCACGUGCCCUGUUGACUCCACGCACACUUAGGAGAGUGUCAUACACUUUCUUCAUUUUAUAUUAAAAAAGAUUGGAUUUUCAGUUUUGGGUGGGAAUGGGGAGCGCUUAAAACUGGCGCCUAAAUUCGAAGCGUUUUAGCGGCCUGAGGCGAGUGUGGCGCAUGGAGAUUGGUGGGGUGUGAGAAUCUAGUACUGCUUGUCUCCUUAUUCUAUCACAAAAUUGGCUUGCCUCCAUUUGCCUCAUUGCUUCAUAAAUUCGCCAUUUCUUUUAAUUAAAUCAAAUCUUGCCUUCAAAUAAUAUUCUAUUCUUUUUCUUUUUCAAAUUUCAACAUUAGUUUGGCUCCAUAACCAAAAUUAUUACUACUGCCUCCCACAGAAAUAUAAUCCUGUGAGGAUAAAUCUAACAUAAAUUCAACGGCAAGAUAAAGCUUAAUAAUUAGAUAUUUAUAUAAAAAUUAUAUAUAAUUAAUUUUUAUACAUGUAAUGAAUGUAUGAACUCACGUACGGAUAUUUAAACUAAUCAUUAUCAAAUUCAUCCCAUAUGAAUUUGAAUGCUUUAUAGUAUUAUUUAUUUUAUUUUAUAGAAUAUAUUUUUAGAGAAAGAAUGUUUUAGGUUUGAAAUAUUUAGAAAAAUUAAUUAAUAAAAAUCAUUAUUCUGAUUAAAGAAAAUUUUAAAUUUUUUAUUUUUAUAUUUAAAAAUUUAUUAAAAUUUUUUAUAUAAAUUUAUUAAUCUAUUUUUUAAAAAUUAAAAUUAAAUUAUUUUAUUAAAAAAUAUAUUCCUAUUAUUCACAUAUUUUUAAAUUUCUUUUAAAAUAAAUUAUUUUUACUCAAAAAAAUAAAAAUUAUAAUUUUUAAAAAUAAAUUACAUUCUAAUUUUUAAAUUUUCGCGUAAUUAAUGAAUUUAUUUCAAAAUUUUUAAAAUUAAACAUUUAAAUUUCUAUAUAAUCAAAGAUUAUUUACUCUAUAAUUUUAUUAGUCAAUCGAUUAAAAAAAAUAAAUAUUUUAAAUAUUUAAAUAUUUUUAUAAAUAUUUUAAAUAUUUAAAUAUUUUUAUAAAUAUUUAAAUUAAAUUCUUUUUAAUAUAAAUAAUAAUUUCAUAUUAUAUAAAAUACAUUUUGAUUCUAAAAUUUUAGAAUAACUGAUAAAUAGUAUUAUAUUUUUAAAACUAAAUUCAUAAAUUUUUAUAUUUAAUUUCGAUAAAAUUAGAUUACUUUUAUUUAUUAUAAAUUUUUAUCUAUUAUAAAUAUUAAUUUUAAAUUAUUGAAUAAUUAAACUUUUUUAUAAGUAUAAUUUUAAAUAAAAAAUAAAAAAUAAAAAUAUUUAAAUUAUAAUAAAUAAAAAUAGACUGAUUAUAAAAAGUUUUAAAUAUAUAUUUUUAAAAAUAUAAAAAUUUAUUCAUUAAUUAUAUUAAAUUUUAAAAAUUUAAACGUAAUUUAUUAAUUAAAAAAUAUAAUAAAAAUAUUUUUAUAUUUUUAUCAGUUAAAAUAAAUAAAAUAAUUUUUAAUUUAAAUGAUCUGAUUAUAAAAAAUUUUAAUAUUUAAUUUAUUCAUUAAUUAUAUUAAAAUUAAAUAAUUAAAAUAUAAUUUACUUUUAUUUUUAAUUUAAUGAAUAUAAUUACAGAGCAGAGCAAGUUGGAAGAUCCUUUGUUUUGGAUGUUGCGACGAUAAUAUAACGGCCCGUUCAUAUUAUCCAUUUAACAAACCAGAAGAGAACGAAUAAACGAAAACUAAAGUUAUUGGAAAGUUUGUACAAAAAUCCCGCUGAGCGAUGGACAAGUGUUUCCAGUUGCCACGUGUGAGGAGGUCUAUGGGCCGCUGCAACCGCCCACCUGUCAUUUUUAACCAAGUAUUUUUGGAUGCUUUUUGUAUUAUAUGUAUUUGCCGGCCUCCUCCCUUUAGCAUGCCACGUCUUGCACAUAUAUAUAUAAUAUUCAUUCACCAUUUAUUUUUCUUUUGAGAAAUUCACAAUUUUUUUUUUUGUCACUGAUAUAUUCGCAAUUUAAUUUGUGGUAUAGUAACAUUCCAUUAUUCGGUUUUUUAAUUUCAAAAAAUAUAUUAAUUAUUUUUUAUUAAUUUUAACUGUUUAAUAUUUUAUUUUUAAUUUUAAUUCUAUAAAAAAUUAUUAGAUAAUUUCUUAAUUUUAUAAAAUAUUUAUUAAUGUUUUUUAUAUUUAUUAUAUUUUAAAUUUUUUAAUAAAAUUUAAUGAUUAAAAUUAAUAAAAAAAUUAAUUAAUAAUUUUUUAAAAAUCUCAAAAUUAUAUUAAUAUAUUUUUAAAAAUAAUUAAUAAAUUUUUAUAUAUUAUAAAGAGUAGAAAUAAUUUUUCCAUUUUCUUUAUUUUCAGAUGUUUUAAAUUUUCAACGGACUAUUGGAGUUACGGUACCCUCUACUUUCGGAGCUGUCUUGGCUUUUGACUGCUGCAUUAACUAAAUUUUUAUAUAACUAUAUAUUAUUUUUAAUUUUUUAAUAUAAAAUUUGCAAUUUAAAUAAUGAUAUUUUUUUUUGUUAAAAAAAAUGAUUUUUUUUAUAUUAUAAAUCGGAGAUUAAUAAAAAAAAGUUAAUUGAAUUAUACUCUUAAAUUUCAUAUUCUAAACUGGAAAAAAUAUCUCGUCUUUUUUUUUUCAAUCAGUUUAUAGAAUAAGGAGUUAGAAGAUAAUUGUUUCAUAUAUAAAUGUUGACUAGGUCAAGGUAAUGCCCAAGUUUGACCUUGACCAUUUCCUUUGAAUGUAUAUGCAUGUAAAGAUGUUGAUGUAUGUCUACUAAUUUUAUUCAAAGCUAUUCCAUCAAUGGGAAAGCAAGAUAUCUUCUCUCUCUAGUUCUUUGGUUCUUUAGAGGGUGAACUUUGCUCUAGACAGUUUCUUCAUAUGGGAGUCGAGUCUCUCGUUCAAGGAGACAAUCUCUUUUCUUCUGUCUGGAGACUAGGUUAUCUUUUAUUGAGAUAUUUCUUGCAUGCAAGUUUAAAUCUUCAUUGGUCCUGCACAUAAAAUUCAUUACUCUAAUUUAGCUAUAGGUAAUUUGGUGGUGGCUUGCAGAGCUAAGCUUGAAAGGCGCAAUGAAUUACUGCAGAGCUGAGCUUCACGGUAGUUGGCUAUCAUUCGAUUUGCUGAAGUUUUCUUUAACUCGAAUAUGCAAUGACAAUUCUUCAUCAUCUAAACACGAGCCCUUUUCUUUUGAAAGCUUCCUAAUUUGCCUUGUGAGGAAGCUAUGAAGUUUUAUGUGCUUUUCUCUUUAGGCUUCAGUGGAACGUAUGGCUAAAAUUAGUUAGGAGAUUUUCUCAGCCUCUCUAGCUUCCACGGACUUGGUUGGCCAAGAGAGAAACGGUAACUGUAAAUUCCUUCCACUAAAUCCUCGGUUUCUCAUCUGGGCUUUUCUCAACUUUUAAUUCAAUUUGCUCUUAAAUGAAAUCACCUACAUCUUCGACAAACAAAAACUCCAUCCAGUGAAUAAAACAAUUAAAUAAUUUCUGCAAUUGCAGGUGGGAGGUGGCCACGGGCUUAGUUCAUGACCCUGCAUAACCUCCUGAUGUCUGCUUAAGCAUUCGCAAGAACAUCCAGAGAACCCAUGUGAAGCAUUGCCUUUGCAAACUUGGCAGCCCCAUGCCCCACCAAUCCUUGCAUUGUCCACCCCCAUCCUAGAAGCACUGUUCAUCUUUCCUUAUUCUAUGUAAUAUUUGUUGUCCAUGCGAUUAGGCGUAGGAUCAAGCACCACUGUUGGACUUCUGCUAGCCCCAUUGGCAUUAGGUGGCGGGCACUGCGUCUACAAGAAAGCCGCAUAUCUAGGGUCCAUGGAUGGAUCCUGGGCACGAGUCUUUCGUUUAUGUUGGGGACUAAUCCAGCUCUGAU
RNAcentral lists this long non-coding RNA (4180 nucleotides) under Manihot esculenta (cassava). RNAcentral describes it as "long non-coding RNA (MESC_LNC006438)". The record is from RNAcentral. Lineage: Eukaryota; Viridiplantae; Streptophyta; Magnoliopsida; Malpighiales; Euphorbiaceae.